GACGUAGGGGGCGAGCGUUGUCCGGAUUUAUUGGGCGUAAAGAGCUCGUAGGCGGCUCAGAAAAGUCGGGUGUGAAACCUCCAGGCUCAACCUGGAGACGCCACCUGAUACUGCUGUGGCUAGAGUCCGGUAGGGGAACACGGAAUUCCCGGUGUAGCGGUGAAAUGCUUAGAUAUCGGGAGGAACACCAGUGGCGAAGGCGGUGUUCUGGGCCGGAACUGACGCUGAGGAGCGAAAGCGUGGGUAGCAAACAGG
Molecule: ribosomal RNA, 255 nt
Filed under: uncultured bacterium
Lineage: Bacteria
Description: partial 16S ribosomal RNA
Rfam family: Bacterial small subunit ribosomal RNA
Source: RNAcentral